RNAcentral lists this ribosomal RNA (433 nucleotides) under uncultured bacterium. RNAcentral's name for it is "partial 16S ribosomal RNA". It matches the Rfam family "Bacterial small subunit ribosomal RNA", at positions 29 to 507 of the family's 1533-position model. The record is from RNAcentral.
AACGAACGCUGGCGGCAUGCCUAACACAUGCAAGUCGAACGAGACCUUCGGGUCUAGUGGCGCACGGGUGCGUAACGCGUGGGAACCUGCCCUUAGGUUCGGAAUAACUCCCCGAAAGGGGUGCUAAUACCGGAUAAUGUCUUCGGACCAAAGAUUUAUCGCCUUUGGAUGGGCCCGCGUUGGAUUAGCUAGUUGGUAGGGUAAAAGCCUACCAAGGCGACGAUCCAUAGCUGGUCUGAGAGGAUGAUCAGCCACACUGGGACUGAGACACGGCCCAGACUCCUACGGGAGGCAGCAGUGGGGAAUAUUGGACAAUGGGCGAAAGCCUGAUCCAGCAAUGCCGCGUGAGUGAUGAAGGCCUUAGGGUUGUAAAGCUCUUUUACCCGGGAUGAUAAUGACAGUACCGGGAGAUUAAGCUCCAGCUAACUCCGUG